UAUCCACAGACACUGCGUAAGCGAACGGGUCUUUCUCUUUCAAGGAAGUUUACUUCCAUCCUUUUUCAAUAGGAAAAAUUAGAAAAGGUGGUGUAGGUUAAGUUCUACAUACCAGCUAUCAAGAAAAUGCCGCGAGAAAUUACAGAAAUUAAAGACUUCCUUUUGAAAGCGAGGCGAAAGGAUGCCAAAUGUG
Photinus pyralis (common eastern firefly) is the source of this 193-nucleotide long non-coding RNA. RefSeq lists it as uncharacterized. The record is from RefSeq and is a predicted model, not a curated record. Lineage: Eukaryota; Metazoa; Arthropoda; Insecta; Coleoptera; Lampyridae. The transcript is spliced from 3 exons.